Salvelinus namaycush (lake trout) is the source of this 1699-nucleotide RNA transcript. RefSeq lists it as uncharacterized. The transcript has 12 exons. The record is from RefSeq and is a predicted model, not a curated record. Lineage: Eukaryota; Metazoa; Chordata; Actinopteri; Salmoniformes; Salmonidae.
AAAGAUGGUGGAAGGUAGUUCUACAACUGUCAUGUCGGGCGGUAGAAAGCCCCGUUCUGUGGCAAACCCUCUGGAUUCCGCGAUCACCACACCCAGUGAACGAAUCUUGAGAGAAUGCCACAAUUUAUAUAUCGACAACGAAAACGGGCUGGUGAAGAUAGCAAGCCGACUGGGUCUCCGGCUCCUUCCUCCACGGAAGAAGAUCAUUGUGAUGAUAAUGGGGAACCACUCUGCUGGAAAAAGCUCAUUUAUUAAUUGGUAUGUGGAAGAACAUAUACAGAGAACAGGUGUUGCCAUAGAAACGCAGGGAUUUACAUUUAUAACAAGUGGUCGGAAAAGAGAAUCACUGACGGGAAAUGCCACGCUCCAUCUCUACCCCCAUUUCCGACCACUCCUGGAGUUUAAAGGUGUUACGGACUAUCUGUCGGCUGAGAUCUCCACCUCCAAGCAGAAGAAGUUUAGUCUGGUGACGUUCGUGGACACACCGGGCUUGGUGGAUGGAGACAUGGUCUAUCCCUUUGAUGUCAACCGCGCGAUCACCUCGUUUGGGGAGCAGGCGGACCUGGUCUUUGUGUUCUUCGACCCUAUGGGCCAGGCGCUGUGCAAGCGCACGCUCAACAUUGUAGAGAAGCUGAGCGAUAAGGUUGCCGACAAGCUGCGCUUCUACCUCAGCAAGGCAGAUGAAGCCGGGAGGGAGACGGACAGACAGCGUGUCAUGAUGCAGAUAGUUCAGGAACUGUGUCGCCGACCGGGGCUGAACAAGUGUGGCUUUGAGAUGCCCACCAUAUACAUCCCUAACCCCCAGAAGCCGAGCCGGUGUGUGAACCAGAUCGACGGAGUGUGUCAGACGAUAGAGAAGACCAUCAACCAGGCCGUGCAGAAGACACUGGACCAGCUGGAGAAGGACUGUGACCUCAUCUCCUCCACAAUCGACAGCAAAUUGUCCCAGGACAGGGCGGACGUGAGUUUCAACAGCAGUGUCCGUCUGCACUCCUUCCUGUGUGGGGCACUGGGCAUCCUACUGCCAUGCCUUUUCAUCCUCAGCUUUGUCGUCAACACCCUCACCCCAGAGGAGCUGCAGGAGCUGCUGGGAGAUGGGCUGGGCAAAGCCCUUGGGCUCUCCAUGGGUGUAGUUGUCUUUCUGUGGACCUGGAUACCAGAGGAUUUCCAGAUAUUGUUUGUGAUCAUAUUUGGUGUACUCUGCUACUUUUUCUUUUGUCUUGCCAAGUAUUUUGCCCGCCGUUGUCAUGUGAUUGUGUCCUCAGCCAAGGGAAUAGGACUCUGACGAAGAAGGAGAAGAGAAGCCUCACAGAGUACAGCGAUUACGUCCAGGACGUCGUCAAAGCCAAGAAGGGAAAACUAUACGAGGAGUAUCUCGCGCAGUGUGCUGCUGAAUAUGACUUCUGAUAAGGGGCGGAUCCAUCGGAAAUCUACAUGCCGGACUUUCUCGUUGAUUAAUUGUUUUGUAGGACGUCUCCGUAAGUGUUUUCAUAAUCACACUGGUAAAGGGCUCACAUGCCUAGGAUUGUACAAUUUGGGAAGCUUUCUGGUACAUUUAUAAACAUUUACAUGCCACUGGGCGAAGUAUUACUUUCUGUAAUAAAACUCAUUCUGAUUGGCUGGGCCUGGUUCCCGAGUGUGUGGGCCUAUGCCCUCCCAGGCCCACCCAUGGCUGCGUCCCUGCCCAGUCAUGUGAAAU